ACAUCACGUGACCCUUCACCUUGCGAAGGCCCUAGGAGCAGUGGUGCUGUCAAUUGAAUAUCGACUUGCCCCAGAAUAUGUAUUUCCGGCCGGUUUGAAUGACUGUGUGACGGCAACCAAACAUUUCAUUCAGAAUACCGAGAGGUUCUCCGUCGAUCCAGCACGAAUCGGGGUUAUGGGAGACGGUUCAGGAGGAAAUCUUGCCACG
Molecule: long non-coding RNA, 208 nt
Organism: Branchiostoma belcheri (Belcher's lancelet)
Lineage: Eukaryota; Metazoa; Chordata; Leptocardii; Amphioxiformes; Branchiostomatidae
Exons: 3
Source: RefSeq, a predicted model, not a curated record